GGUUAAGCGACUAAGCGUACACGGUGGAUGCCCUGGCAGUCAGAGGCGAUGAAGGACGUGCUAAUCUGCGAUAAGCGUCGGUAAGGUGAUAUGAACCGUUAUAACCGGCGAUUUCCGAAUGGGGAAACCCAGUGUGUUUCGACACACUAUCAUUAACUGAAUCCAUAGGUUAAUGAGGCGAACCGGGGGAACUGAAACAUCUAAGUACCCCGAGGAAAAGAAAUCAACCGAGAUUCCCCCAGUAGCGGCGAGCGAACGGGGAGCAGCCCAGAGCCUGAAUCAGUGUGUGUGUUAGUGGAAGCGUCUGGAAAGGCGCGCGAUACAGGGUGACAGCCCCGUACACAAAAAUGCACAUGCUGUGAGCUCGAUGAGUAGGGCGGGACACGUGGUAUCCUGUCUGAAUAUGGGGGGACCAUCCUCCAAGGCUAAAUACUCCUGACUGACCGAUAGUGAACCAGUACCGUGAGGGAAAGGCGAAAAGAACCCCGGCGAGGGGAGUGAAAAAGAACCUGAAACCGUGUACGUACAAGCAGUGGGAGCACGCUUCGGCGUGUGACUGCGUACCUUUUGUAUAAUGGGUCAGCGACUUAUAUUCUGUAGCAAGGUUAACCGAAUAGGGGAGCCGAAGGGAAACCGAGUCUUAACUGGGCGUUAAGUUGCAGGGUAUAGACCCGAAACCCGGUGAUCUAGCCAUGGGCAGGUUGAAGGUUGGGUAACACUAACUGGAGGACCGAACCGACUAAUGUUGAAAAAUUAGCGGAUGACUUGUGGCUGGGGGUGAAAGGCCAAUCAAACCGGGAGAUAGCUGGUUCUCCCCGAAAGCUAUUUAGGUAGCGCCUCGUGAAUUCAUCUCCGGGGGUAGAGCACUGUUUCGGCAAGGGGGUCAUCCCGACUUACCAACCCGAUGCAAACUGCGAAUACCGGAGAAUGUUAUCACGGGAGACACACGGCGGGUGCUAACGUCCGUCGUGAAGAGGGAAACAACCCAGACCGCCAGCUAAGGUCCCAAAGUCAUGGUUAAGUGGGAAACGAUGUGGGAAGGCCCAGACAGCCAGGAUGUUGGCUUAGAAGCAGCCAUCAUUUAAAGAAAGCGUAAUAGCUCACUGGUCGAGUCGGCCUGCGCGGAAGAUGUAACGGGGCUAAACCAUGCACCGAAGCUGCGGCAGCGACGCUGAUGCGUUGUUGGGUAGGGGAGCGUUCUGUAAGCCUGCGAAGGUGUGCUGUGAGGCAUGCUGGAGGUAUCAGAAGUGCGAAUGCUGACAUAAGUAACGAUAAAGCGGGUGAAAAGCCCGCUCGCCGGAAGACCAAGGGUUCCUGUCCAACGUUAAUCGGGGCAGGGUGAGUCGACCCCUAAGGCGAGGCCGAAAGGCGUAGUCGAUGGGAAACAGGUUAAUAUUCCUGUACUUGGUGUUACUGCGAAGGGGGGACGGAGAAGGCUAUGUUGGCCGGGCGACGGUUGUCCCGGUUUAAGCGUGUAGGCUGGUUUUCCAGGCAAAUCCGGAAAAUCAAGGCUGAGGCGUGAUGACGAGGCACUACGGUGCUGAAGCAACAAAUGCCCUGCUUCCAGGAAAAGCCUCUAAGCAUCAGGUAACAUCAAAUCGUACCCCAAACCGACACAGGUGGUCAGGUAGAGAAUACCAAGGCGCUUGAGAGAACUCGGGUGAAGGAACUAGGCAAAAUGGUGCCGUAACUUCGGGAGAAGGCACGCUGAUAUGUAGGUGAGGUCCCUCGCGGAUGGAGCUGAAAUCAGUCGAAGAUACCAGCUGGCUGCAACUGUUUAUUAAAAACACAGCACUGUGCAAACACGAAAGUGGACGUAUACGGUGUGACGCCUGCCCGGUGCCGGAAGGUUAAUUGAUGGGGUUAGCGCAAGCGAAGCUCUUGAUCGAAGCCCCGGUAAACGGCGGCCGUAACUAUAACGGUCCUAAGGUAGCGAAAUUCCUUGUCGGGUAAGUUCCGACCUGCACGAAUGGCGUAAUGAUGGCCAGGCUGUCUCCACCCGAGACUCAGUGAAAUUGAACUCGCUGUGAAGAUGCAGUGUACCCGCGGCAAGACGGAAAGACCCCGUGAACCUUUACUAUAGCUUGACACUGAACAUUGAGCCUUGAUGUGUAGGAUAGGUGGGAGGCUUAGAAGUGUGGACGCCAGUCUGCAUGGAGCCGACCUUGAAAUACCACCCUUUAAUGUUUGAUGUUCUAACGUUGACCCGUAAUCCGGGUUGCGGACAGUGUCUGGUGGGUAGUUUGACUGGGGCGGUCUCCUCCUAAAGAGUAACGGAGGAGCACGAAGGUUGGCUAAUCCUGGUCGGACAUCAGGAGGUUAGUGCAAUGGCAUAAGCCAGCUUGACUGCGAGCGUGACGGCGCGAGCAGGUGCGAAAGCAGGUCAUAGUGAUCCGGUGGUUCUGAAUGGAAGGGCCAUCGCUCAACGGAUAAAAGGUACUCCGGGGAUAACAGGCUGAUACCGCCCAAGAGUUCAUAUCGACGGCGGUGUUUGGCACCUCGAUGUCGGCUCAUCACAUCCUGGGGCUGAAGUAGGUCCCAAGGGUAUGGCUGUUCGCCAUUUAAAGUGGUACGCGAGCUGGGUUUAGAACGUCGUGAGACAGUUCGGUCCCUAUCUGCCGUGGGCGCUGGAGAACUGAGGGGGGCUGCUCCUAGUACGAGAGGACCGGAGUGGACGCAUCACUGGUGUUCGGGUUGUCAUGCCAAUGGCACUGCCCGGUAGCUAAAUGCGGAAGAGAUAAGUGCUGAAAGCAUCUAAGCACGAAACUUGCCCCGAGAUGAGUUCUCCCUGAC
This 2793-nucleotide ribosomal RNA is filed under the name Escherichia coli. Its description in RNAcentral is "partial 23S ribosomal RNA". It matches the Rfam family "Bacterial large subunit ribosomal RNA". Lineage: Bacteria; Pseudomonadati; Pseudomonadota; Gammaproteobacteria; Enterobacterales; Enterobacteriaceae. The record is from RNAcentral.